Non-coding RNA from Ruminococcus sp. CAG:9, 85 nucleotides. Lineage: Bacteria; Bacillati; Bacillota; Clostridia; Eubacteriales; Oscillospiraceae. The record is from Rfam.
AGCGGUAUGAUGAAAUUGGCUAGACAUAAUAGACUUUGACUCUAUUGAGCAGUAGCUCGUGUGGGUUCGAAUCCCACUACCGCCG